AUUGAACGCUGGCGGCAUGCUUUACACAUGCAAGUCGAGCGGCAGCGCGGGGGCAACCCUGGCGGCGAGCGGCGAACGGGUGAGUAAUGCAUCGGAACGUAUCCUCGAGUGGGGGAUAACCCAGCGAAAGUUGGGCUAAUACCGCAUGAGCUCUGAGGAGGAAAGCGGGGGACCUGCGAGGGCCUCGCGCUGGAGGAGCGGCCGAUGUCCGAUUAGCUAGUUGGUGGGGUAAAGGCUUACCAAGGCGACGAUCGGUAGCUGGUCUGAGAGGAUGAUCAGCCACACUGGGACUGAGACACGGCCCAGACUCCUACGGGAGGCAGCAGUGGGGAAUUUUGGACAAUGGGGGCAACCCUGAUCCAGCCAUGCCGCGUGAGUGAAGAAGGCCUUCGGGUUGUAAAGCUCUUUCGGACGGAACGAAAUGGGCGGAACUAAUACUCCUGUCUGAUGACGGUACCGUAAGAAGAAGCACCGGCUAACUACGUG
This 486-nucleotide ribosomal RNA is filed under the name uncultured bacterium. Its description in RNAcentral is "partial 16S ribosomal RNA". It matches the Rfam family "Bacterial small subunit ribosomal RNA", at positions 29 to 507 of the family's 1533-position model. The record is from RNAcentral.